This 263-nucleotide unclassified non-coding RNA is filed under the name plant metagenome. RNAcentral's name for it is "partial contains small subunit ribosomal RNA, internal transcribed spacer 1, and 5.8S ribosomal RNA". The record is from RNAcentral.
UUUCCGUAGGUGAACCUGCGGAAGGAUCAUUAUUGUAUAACCGAGGUGCGAGGGCUGUCGCUGACCCGAAAGGUCGUGCACGCCCGAGUGCCCUCACACACAUCCAUCUCACCCCUAUGUGCACCACCGCGUGGGUCCCCCUUUGGCUUGUUCGGAGGGGGGCUUACGUUUUCACACAAACUUUGUAUGCAGUGUAGAAUGUAUUUUUUGUUCUUGCGAUCACGCAAUCAAUACGACUUUCAACAACGGAUCUCUUGGCUCUC